UUUCAUGGAGCGUCUGUAUGGAAAAAUGAAAUACAAGCGAGAGUGGAAAGAACAAUAGGGAAAAGACGGGCAGAGGUAGGACCCCAGCAAGCCUACACUCAUAACUCUCUCCUUGACUCCCAACGCAGUGCCUGCCACCAGACAAGCUCAGAGCCCUGCUGAGGACAAGCACGAUCAACAGGCCACAGAGGAAGACAAUGCAGCCACUCCCAAUGAGACCUGAUAGACUAGGAUCAGAAGGAAGGAGAGGAAGACCUCCCCUAUCAAUGGACUUGGGUAGGAGCAUGCGUGGAGGAGGGAGAGGAAAGAAAAUUGCUCACUUAUAGAUAGAUGACUGGUUUCCAAUAGACUUCUCUGCUUUGAGUAUUCCCAGGGAUUUGGAGAAGCACUGGAAAGCAUCUCCCUGCUGAGCAGCAGACCUCCUACCGUCGACACAGACAUCAAUCUGAAAGACAAGUAGACGGAAUGCCAAGUGUUACCUGAAGGUGGCUAGGGAAUCCAUCCUGGGAUGCUAGUGAGGGAUUGGUCCGAGGCUCUUCAGGAGAAAUCCUGGAAAGACUGCUCUGAAGAAGGUAGAACGUCUGACGAAAGUGACGAAAACCCUGACUAAACAGCCCGACCACAACAAUCUGCCCAGGACUCCAAAACAAGGAUGGUACCACCUACUCUCAGGCUAUGCUAUCGCAAGACAAUCUCCCACAGAUAUGCCCACUGGCCAACCUGAUCUACAUAAUCCCUCACUGAAACUCUCUUCUCAGGCGAUUCCAAAUUGAAAAACUUACCACCAUACCAGGCUAACCUCAAAUCACUCUAUGGCCAAAGUUAGCUGUGAAAUCCCCAAUCUUUUCUCUAGUGCCUGGUUUAUUGUGAAGGGCUGGUAACUGAACACAGGGCUUCAUCCAUGGAAGGCAAACAUUGUACCAACUGAGGUACAUAGAUCUUUAGCCUGUGAUAAUAUUUGGAGUAGUAUGGACCUUCUACUCUGGUAGCCUGUAGCCAUAUGUGUCUACUUAACGCUUGAAUAUGGCUUAAUCUAAAUUGUCAUAAAUGUUAAAUACAUCAAAUACAUAAUUAGGACUUCAAAAGUGUUGAAUUAAGGCAAUAUGUAUGUGUGAGACACAGAUACAUCUCAAAUGUUUUACACGGAUUACCCAUUCAGACGCAGAUGCUAGGUUAAUAUGUACAAAAAUGAAUGUAUCAAACUAAAUAUUUCAUGCUCCUUUUUUUUCUAUCCUGGCCACCAAAACCUAAAAAAAAUCUUAUAAGUGUUAACAUACUUAUCUUGGGCCAAAAUGAUUUAAAAGCAUGAAAUAAGAUAAAAUAAAAUUAAUAAUAUAAACAUAAAAUGAAAUAAUACAAUGAAAGCUUCCAUUUUAUUUUUCCCCUAUCUCAGCCCCAGUCAUUCUUCUGAGAAUUAAAUUUUCCUGGACACUCGAAAAUACAGAUGAAUAUUUGUAAUAUUUGUAUACAUAUGAAAUAACUUGGCUUUCACAUAUAAAGAGACUGGAUUGGAAUCUUAUCAUAAACAUGACCCUUUUAAAGCUUUUAGUUUUACUUUAAUAAAUAUGCGAUGUCUACAGCAUGCUUUCUGGUAUCUGCAUAGAAUCUCCUUAGAACUCUUUGUGUAGGCACAGACCUCCUCCUCCUCCCUGUCUGUUCCCCCAGACCCAAUCUUUCAGUCCCACCACUAGUGCUGCAACACAAAACCAGCUGCAGCCUCUCUUCCCCUCUCCCCACAUCUUGUGCAACCCAUAGGCCAUCCCCUUUUAACCCUCUUCUCCCCUCUCCUUGGUGUAUCCCAGUCCCCAACUCCAACAGGCACCCUCUAAUAACUCACAGUCUUCUGCUAGAAAACAAGGUAGGCUGCCUUUAGACUUUCUUAGCUCUCUCUGUUCCCCCAGACCUAAUCCCCAAGUCUCAUCCCCAGCUCUGCAGCAGAAUUCCCAUGGCAGCAUUCCCUCUCUCCACCCCCCAUCUCUGGUGAAUGCCACCAGAUAUCUCCUUCUAACCUUCCUCGCCCCCCUUGUUGCUUUGUCCCAGACUCCAACCCUGCAGGCACCCCAUGCUAACUUAAGGGCCACUCCUCCAAGAGUAACACUUUCCUUGAAGCCAGAUCUGCACCUCUCCUACUGCUCUUGAGAUGAAAGCCUUCAGUCUCAUUCCCAGCUCGGUAGCAGAAAACCUGCUGUGGUCUCUCUUUCAUUCCUGACUCCAUCCCCAAUGGAUAACAAAGACUUUCUUCUCCAACCUUCUUUUCCCCAACACUUCCCAGUAUCCUAGCCUCCAGUUCUCAGCAGACAUUCCUUAAGAACACACCACCUGAACAGGUCAGUAAAACAAGCAGCACACCACCAUCACAUUCUCAGAAAAUCAAGAGAGAAAACAGAAACCAAGGAACAAAACACCCACCCAACAAAGACAAAUCCAAAAAUCAGCACCUAGACCUUUUAGUCAUUUCAAACUCAGAUGCUGAAACUUCAGUGUAAAAACACAAUAAAAAAACAGGGCAAUAUGGCUCCCCUAGAGCCCAGCAUUCCUACCACACCAGGCCCUGGAUAUUCCAAUAUAGAUGAAGGACAAGAAAAAGUCCUUAAAAUCAACUACAUAAAGAGGUUGUUAAAGAAGGCAUGAAGGAAUCUAUUAAAGAAAUUUAAAGAAGCACAUACAGUUGAAUGAAAUGAAUAAAACUUUUCAAGACCUGAAAAUAAGAAAAAAAAAAGCAGUAAAGAACAAACUGAGGGAAUUCUGGAAAUAUAAAAUUUAGAAAUUUGAACAGGAACCACAGAGGAAAGCUUCGCCAACAAAAUACAAGAGAUGGAAGAGAGAAUUGCAGGCACUGAAGAUAUGACAGAAAAAAUGGAUACUUCAGUCACUAUGAAAAGACCAAACCUAAAAAUAAUAGGUAUAGAGGAAGCAUAGGAAGGCCAGCUCAAAGGUCCAGAAAAAUUCUUCAAAAAUAUCAUAGAUGAAAAAUUUUUUAACCUAAAGAAGGAGAUUCCUAUAAGGGUAAAAGAAGCUUACAGUACACCAAAUAGAUUGGACCAGGAAAGAAUGUCCUCUCCCUUGCCGCAUGAUGAUCAAAACACUAAACAUAUAGAACAAUGAAAGAAUAUUAAAAGCUGCAAGGGAGACAAAACAAGUAACAUAUAAAUGCAGACCUAUUAGAAUUACACUUGACUUCUCAAUGGAUAAUCUAAAAACCAGAAGGGCCUGGACAGAUGUGCUGCAGACCCCAAGAGACCACAGACGCCAACCCAGACUACUAUUCCCAGCAAAAUUUUCAGUCAUCAUAUGUGGAGAAAAUAAGAUAUUCCAUGAUGAAGUCAAGUGUAAAUAAUAUCUGUCGACAAAUCCAACCCAAAAGAAGGUGCUAGAAGAAACACUCUACUCUAAGGUUAAUGCCAGACACGAAAACAUAGGGAAUUAAUACUCACACACAAGUAAAACCAAAAGAAGGGAAUUGAACACACAAAUACUAUCACACAUACACACACAACUCACACACACACACACACACACAUCACCAUCACCAACAGAAGGAACAGCAGCAGCAACAAUAAAAUUACAGGAAUCAACAGUUAUGGAUCAUUAAGAUCUCUCUACACCAAUGGACUCUAUUCCCCCAAUAAAAAGUUGUAGACUAACAGAAUGAAUGUGUGAACAGGAUUCAUGCCUCUGCUACAUCCAAGAAAUACACCUCCUCAACAUCAAGGAUAAACAUUACCUCAGGGUAGAAGGUUGGAAAAAGAUAUUCCAAGGAAAUGUGGUAUAGCCAUUUGAGUAUCCAAGAAAAUGUAGUUCAGACCAAAAUUAACCAAAAGAAAUAUGGAAGGACACUUCAUAUUCAUUAAAGGAAAAAUCCACCAAGAUGACAUCUCAGUUCUUAACAUUUAUUCCCCACACACAAGGGCACUCACAUUUGAAGAAGAAACAUUACUAGAGUUUAAGCCACAUGUGAAACUUCACAUGUUAAUUGUAAGAGACAUCCAUACACACUCUCACCAGUAGACAGGUCAUCCAUACAAAAACUGAACAGUGAAAUAUUGGAACUAACAGAUAUGAACCAAGUGGACAAAAUAGAUAUCUAUAGAACAUUUUACCCAAACACAAAAGAAUAAACCUUUUUUUUUUUUCUCAGCACCUUAGGUAACUUUCUCCAAAACUGACCACAUACUCAGACACAAAGCAAGUGUCAACAGAAACAAGACCCUAGGGAGGAGGCUUAAAUCUAAUUCAGAAUGGCGAACAGGAUAGAUGCCAGAAGUGGUGGAAGAAAGGGGACAGGAUGGGAGCCUACUAUAGAGGGUCCUCUGAAAGGCUCCACCCACCAGGGGAUCAAACCAGAUGCUGAGACUCACAGCUAAACUUUAAGCAAAGUGCAGGGAAUCUUAUCGAGGAAGAGGGGAUAGAAGGACACGGAGGGGACAGGAGGCCCACAAGGAGACCAACAAAGCUAAAAUACCGGAGCCCAGGGAGUCCUGCAGAGGCUGAUGCACCAACCAAAGACUAUGCAUAGAGAAGACUUAGAGCCCCUGCUCAGAUGUAGCUGAUUGGUAGCUCAGCCCCCAUGUGGGUGCCUGAGUAAGGGGAGCAGGAGCUGCCUCUGUCAUGAACUUGAUUGACUGCUCUUUAAUCACUUGCCUUGGGGAUGCAGCCUUUCCAGGCCACAGAGGAGGAGGAUCCAGGAAGUCCCAAUGAGACUUGAUAAGCUAGGGGUACAUCUGCUCAAAGGAGGAGAACUCCCCCUUACAGUGGACCAGGGGAAGGGGAUAGGGAAAAAGAGGGAGACAGGGCGGUACUGGAGGGAGUUGAGGGCUAUAUACUGAAUCCAGAUAUAUAAUGAAUAAAUUGUAAAAAAAAAUAAUGAAAUAACUCCUGCAUCCCAUACAAUAACCAUGAAUUAAAGCUGGAUAUUAACAACAACAUAAACAACAGAAAGCUUACAAUCUCAUGAAAACAAAACAACUCUCUACUGAAUAAAAAUUGGAUCAAGACAGAAAUAAAGAAGAAAAUUAAAGAUUUUCUAAAAUUCAGUGAAAAUGAAUACCAGCAUAUACAACCUUUUGGAGCACAAAGAAAACAAUGCUAACAGGAAAGUUCAUAACAUUAAGUGCCUACACAAAAGAAAAAAAAAUGGAAAUAUCUCAUACUAGCAACCUAACAGCAAACCUAAAAUGUCUAGAGCAAAAAGAAGUAAGCAUGCCUAAGGAGUAUACAGUAGGAAAUAAUCAAACUGAGAGCUGAAAUCAAUCAGAUGAAAACAGAGAACAAGACAAAGAAUCAAUGGAACAAAAAGUUGGUUCUUUGAGAAAAUCAACAACAUAGACAAACCUUUAUCCAAACUAACUAAAAGAUGCAGAGAGGAUAUCCAAAUUAACAAAAAAAAAUUAACAAAAGGUGGGCAUAACAACAGACAACAGAAGAACUCCAGAGGCUCAUAAGAACACAAUGUAAAGGACAAUAGGACCUACCUGUACUCCAUCCAAAUGGAUAAUCUAAAAGAAAUAGAUAAUUUUCUCAAUAGGUACCACUUACUAAAGUUAAAUCAAGUUCAGUUAACCAAUUUAAACAUACCUAUGAUUCCUAAUGAAAUAGAAGCAGUUGUCAAAAUCUCCCUACCAUAAAAAAGACCCAGGGCCAGACAUUUUUAGUGCAGAAUUCUACCAGACUUUCAAAGAAGAGUUAUUGAUGAUACUCCUCAAAUUAUUCCAAAAAUAGAAACAGAAAGAACAAUAUCUAGAUCAUUUUAUGAGGUCACCAUUAUCUUAAUACCCCACCCACAUAAAGAUUCAAUAAAGAUAAUUAUAGACCAAUUUCUCUUAUAAACAUAGAUGCAAAAAUCCUCAACAAAAUACUUGCAAACCUAAUCUAAGAACGCAUCAAAAAGAUCAUCUACCAUGGUCAAGUAGACUUCAUCCAAGAGAUGAAGGGAUGGUUCAGUAUAGACUAAAUUGGAAGUCUCCAUCAAGUCCUUUCCCUUAGAGUUUAGGGAAUCCUAUGGAAGAGAAAGCAUAAAAAAAAUUUAAGAAUCAGAGUGGAUGGAGGACACCAGGAAAGCACAAUCCUCCGAAUCAAUGAAACACAUGAGCUGAAGCAGCAAGCAUGGAGCCUACAUGGAUCUACACCAGGUUCUCUGCAAAUAUAUUAUAGCUACUAACGUAUUUUUUAUGGGACUCCUGACUGUGAGGGCAAGUGGGGUCUCUGACUCUUGCCUGCUCUUGAGACUCUUCUCCAAAGCUGGGUCCAGCUUUGAUAUGAAAGUUUUUCUUUCAUCUCAUUUUAUAUUAUUUUGUCAGGUUUGGUUGUUAUGCCUUAGAUGCCUGUUCUUUUCUACUGAGAGAGAAAGGGAGGGGAGGAGGGUGGGCAGGACCUUGCAGGAGUAGAAGGAGGGGAAACUAUAAUCAGGGUAUAUUGUAUGAGAAAAAAAGUCCAUUUUCAAUAAUAAAGAAAAAAAGAACUCAAUGGGAUCAUAGGUAUAUAUAAAUUGAUUAUCUGAACUUGA
This is a long non-coding RNA of Meriones unguiculatus (Mongolian gerbil), 6502 nucleotides long. RefSeq lists it as uncharacterized. The record is from RefSeq and is a predicted model, not a curated record. The transcript is spliced from 6 exons. NCBI's taxonomy places the organism in Eukaryota, Metazoa, Chordata, Mammalia, Rodentia, Muridae.